GAUCAGUAUGUCUAGGUAAUCGUGUCAAAUGCGGCUUUUUAAAAAUUGUAUCACGUAGUAAAACUGCAUUAACCUAAUGUCAAGUUAAGGUGUACUGUUAGCUAGCUAACGUUAGCUGGCUGGCUCGCUAGCUAACAUUAUGUGUAUGCUCUCCCCUUUCUAGAGGACCGAGUUUUGAAAUCAGUAGAAUUUGAGUAUGAUAGCUAAGGAGAUGGAGAAAACACUAGUCUGGAUUACAUCGUCAAACUAAGGGCAACCAUGCAUGGCAUAAGACAGGAGACACAUCCAGCCAUGAUGUAUACUGGACCUGAGCCCUAGGACCAUGCCUCAGGACUACCUGACAUGAUGACUCCUUGCUGUCCCCAGUCCACCUGGCCGUGCUGCUGCUCCAGUUUCAACUGUUCUGCCUGUGAUUAUUAUUAUUUGAUCAUGCUGGUCAUUUAUGAACAUUUGAACAUCUUGGCCAUGUUCUGUUAUAAUCUCCACCCGGCACAGCCAAAAGAGGACUGGUCACCCCACAUAGCCUGGUACCUCUCUAGGUUUCUUCCUAGGUUUUGGCCUUUCUAGGGAGUUUUUCCUAGCCACCGUGCUUCUACACCUGCAUUGCUUGGUGUUUGGUGUUUUAGGCUGGGUUUCUGUACAGCACUUUGAGAUAUCAGCUGACGUACGAAAGGCUAUAUAAAUACAUUUGAUUUUGAUUUGAUUUGAAAUAUGCAUGAUAAAAUCCAUAAAAUAUGAUUCCAGAUACAACAGUGCAGCAUGAUGCUAUUACGUUAAGUGAACCGGUAAAGCCAGAAAGACACAUGCUAAGCUCGUGAACCUACCCCAUAUUGAAUGAUGAUAAUCAAUAAAGUCUUGGCAGAUCGCUAUUAUACUGAAUGUCCAAACAUAACAAACCAUUGUCCUGUGAUGUCAGUCUUUAUUUUCUCUCGUGAGUCAUUUAAGUGUAAACAUCCAUGAGGGUAUUGGUGUCCUUGUGGGAUAGUAUACAUAUAUAGAUAGUAAAUAUAGAUAUAAUAUUAUUUCACACAAACACAAAGUAUACCUUUAAAUCAUAUAUGUGUUAAAAAUGUGGAAAUUGUCUUAAAUACCAAUUUGUGAGUAAUAUUCCAUGAACCUCCUUGAUGUAUGUGUGUUCACUCAAGUCCUGUGUUGAUAGGAAACAGAUUGGAGCAUCAUAAAUGGACAAUCUAAGAAAUGAGCCCAAUUAGUUUUCAACAAUUGUUUCCAGAAGUAUAAGAGGUCUUUGUUUCAUUUUUAAUAUUUCAAUGUUCAUGAGAAAGGAGCCUAUUUGUGAGCAGCAGGAAUUUAUCUAUGAAAAUGAUGAAAAGGGCAACAAUAAACAGUAUGUCAU
Long non-coding RNA from Oncorhynchus tshawytscha (Chinook salmon), 1354 nucleotides. NCBI's taxonomy places the organism in Eukaryota, Metazoa, Chordata, Actinopteri, Salmoniformes, Salmonidae. The record is from Ensembl.